This 429-nucleotide ribosomal RNA is filed under the name Gemmatimonadota bacterium. RNAcentral's name for it is "Gemmatimonadetes bacterium partial 16S ribosomal RNA". It matches the Rfam family "Bacterial small subunit ribosomal RNA", at positions 355 to 776 of the family's 1533-position model. The record is from RNAcentral. Lineage: Bacteria; Pseudomonadati; Gemmatimonadota.
UAGGGAAUCUUCGGCAAUGGACGAAAGUCUGACCGAGCAACGCCGCGUGAGUGAAGAAGGUUUUCGGAUCGUAAAACUCUGUUGUUCGAGAAGAACAAGGACGUUAGUAACUGAACGUCCCCUGACGGUAUCUAACCAGAAAGCCACGGCUAACUACGUGCCAGCAGCCGCGGUAAUACGUAGGUGGCAAGCGUUGUCCGGAUUUAUUGGGCGUAAAGCGAGCGCAGGCGGUUUCUUAAGUCUGAUGUGAAAGCCCCCGGCUCAACCGGGGAGGGUAAUUGGAAACGGGGAGACUUGAGUGCAGAAGAGGGGAGUGGAAUUCCAUGUGGAGCGGUGAAAUGCGUAGAUAUAUGGAGAAACACCAGUGGAGAAGGCGGCUGUCUGGUCUGUAAAUGACGCUGAGGCUCGAAAGCGUGGGGAGCAAACAGG